This 508-nucleotide ribosomal RNA is filed under the name uncultured bacterium. RNAcentral's name for it is "partial 16S ribosomal RNA". It matches the Rfam family "Bacterial small subunit ribosomal RNA", at positions 28 to 507 of the family's 1533-position model. The record is from RNAcentral.
GACGAACGCUGGCGGCGUGCCUAAUACAUGCAAGUCGAACGCUUCUUUCCUCCCGAGUGCUUGCACUCAAUUGGAAGGAGGAGUGGCGGACGGGUGAGUAACACGUGGGUAACCUACCCAUCAGAGGGGGAUAACACUUGGAAACAGGUGCUAAUACCGCAUAACAGUUUAUGCCGCAUGGCAUAAGAGUGAAAGGCGCUUUCGGGCGUCGUUGAUGGAUGGACCCGCGGUGCAUUAGCUAGUUGGUGAGGUAACGGCUCACCAAGGCCACGAUGCAUAGCCGACCUGAGAGGGUGAUCGGCCACACUGGGACUGAGACACGGCCCAGACUCCUACGGGAGGCAGCAGUAGGGAAUCUUCGGCAAUGGACGAAAGUCUGACCGAGCAACGCCGCGUGAGUGAAGAAGGUUUUCGGAUCGUAAAACUCUGUUGUUAGCGAAGAACAAGGACGUUAGUAACUGAACGUCCCCUGACGGUAUCUAACCAGAAAGCCACGGCUAACUACGUG